This 492-nucleotide ribosomal RNA is filed under the name uncultured bacterium. Its description in RNAcentral is "partial 16S ribosomal RNA". It matches the Rfam family "Bacterial small subunit ribosomal RNA", at positions 29 to 507 of the family's 1533-position model. The record is from RNAcentral.
AGUGAACGCUGGCGGUAGGCCUAACACAUGCAAGUCGAACGGCAGCACAGUAAGAGCUUGCUCUUACGGGUGGCGAGUGGCGGACGGGUGAGGAAUACAUCGGAAUCUACUUUUUCGUGGGGGAUAACGUAGGGAAACUUACGCUAAUACCGCAUACGACCUACGGGUGAAAGCAGGGGAUCUUCGGACCUUGCGCGAUUGAAUGAGCCGAUGUCGGAUUAGCUAGUUGGCGGGUUAAAGGCCCACCAAGGCGACGAUCCGUAGCUGGUCUGAGAGGAUGGUCAGCCACACUGGAACUGAGACACGGUCCAGACUCCUACGGGAGGCAGCAGUGGGGAAUAUUGGACAAUGGGCGCAAGCCUGAUCCAGCCAUACCGCGUGGGUGAAGAAGGCCUUCGGGUUGUAAAGCCCUUUUGUUGGGAAAGAAAAGCAGCAGGUUAAUACCCCGCUGUUCUGACGGUACCCAAAGAAUAAGCACCGGCUAACUUCGUG